This 589-nucleotide ribosomal RNA is filed under the name uncultured bacterium. Its description in RNAcentral is "bacterial SSU rRNA". It matches the Rfam family "Bacterial small subunit ribosomal RNA", at positions 895 to 1482 of the family's 1533-position model. The record is from RNAcentral.
UAAAACUCAAAGGAAUUGACGGGGGCCCGCACAAGCGGCGGAGCAUGCGGAUUAAUUCGAUGCAACGCGAAGAACCUUACCAAGGCUUGACAUAGCCGAGAACGCUGUAGAGAUACAGAACUCUUUGGACACUCGGUUACAGGUGGUGCAUGGUUGUCGUCAGCUCGUGUCGUGAGAUGUUCGGUUAAGUCCGGCAACGAGCGCAACCCUCGUCCUAUGUUGCCAGCACGUUAUGGUGGGAACUCAUGGGAUACUGCCGUGGUCAACACGGAGGAAGGUGGGGAUGACGUCAAGUCAUCAUGCCCCUUAUGUCUUGGGCUUCACGCAUGCUACAAUGGCCGAUACAAAGGGCUGCGAUACCGCGAGGUGGAGCGAAUCCCAAAAAGUCGGUCUCAGUUCGGAUUGGGGUCUGCAACUCGACCCCAUGAAGUCGGAGUCGCUAGUAAUCGCAGAUCAGCAACGCUACGGUGAAUACGUUCCCGGGCCUUGUACACACCGCCCGUCAAGUCAUGAAAGUCGGUAACACCCGAAGCCGGUGGCCUAACCCUUGUGGAGGGAGCCGUCGAAGGUGGGACUGGUGAUUAGGACU